GACGAACGCUGGCGGCGUGCUUAACACAUGCAAGUCGAGCGGUAAGGCCCUUUCGGGGGUACACGAGCGGCGAACGGGUGAGUAACACGUGGGUGACCUGCCCUCAGCUCUGGGAUAAGCCUGGGAAACUGGGUCUAAUACCGGAUAUGACUCCAUGACGCAUGUUGUGGGGUGGAAAGCCUUGUGCGGCUGAGGAUGGGCCCGCGGCCUAUCAGCUUGUUGGUGGGGGAUGGCCUACCAAGGCGACGACGGGUAGCCGGCCUGAGAGGGCGACCGGCCACACUGGGACUGAGACACGGCCCAGACUCCUACGGGAGGCAGCAGUGGGGAAUCUUGCGCAAUGGGCGAAAGCCUGACGCAGCGACGCCGCGUGA
This 374-nucleotide ribosomal RNA is filed under the name uncultured bacterium. Its description in RNAcentral is "bacterial SSU rRNA". It matches the Rfam family "Bacterial small subunit ribosomal RNA", at positions 28 to 404 of the family's 1533-position model. The record is from RNAcentral.